CUAGCAUGGCCGAAGUGUGUCAGGGAGAGUGGGGGAGCUGCUUGUCUGUUGAACUUGAAUGCAAUGGCAAUCCUUCCAUAAUUGAGGUAUAAGGAUUUUUAAUUCUAGCUUAUCAUUCCAUAAUUCUUCUGUUUAGUCACUCAAAUUUCUAUUCUAGACUGACAGCACAAGCUUGAGUUAAUCAUGUAAUAGAUUGAGUUCCUCACCAC
This 209-nucleotide long non-coding RNA is filed under the name Lupinus angustifolius (narrow-leaved blue lupine). RNAcentral's name for it is "long non-coding RNA (LANG_LNC000325)". The record is from RNAcentral. Lineage: Eukaryota; Viridiplantae; Streptophyta; Magnoliopsida; Fabales; Fabaceae.